Molecule: ribosomal RNA, 429 nt
Filed under: Pseudomonadota bacterium
Lineage: Bacteria; Pseudomonadati; Pseudomonadota
Description: Proteobacteria bacterium partial 16S ribosomal RNA
Rfam family: Bacterial small subunit ribosomal RNA
Source: RNAcentral
UGGGGAAUAUUGGACAAUGGGCGAAAGCCUGAUCCAGCCAUGCCGCGUGUGUGAAGAAGGUCUUCGGAUUGUAAAGCACUUUAAGUUGGGAGGAAGGGCAGUAAGCGAAUACCUUGCUGUUUUGACGUUACCGACAGAAUAAGCACCGGCUAACUCUGUGCCAGCAGCCGCGGUAAUACAGAGGGUGCAAGCGUUAAUCGGAAUUACUGGGCGUAAAGCGCGCGUAGGUGGUUCGUUAAGUUGAAUGUGAAAGCUCCGAGCUCAACCUGGGAACUGCAUCCAAUACUGGCGAGCUAGAGUAGGGCAGAGGGAGGUGGAAUUUCCUGUGUAGCGGUGAAAUGCGUAGAUAUAGGAAGGAACACCAGUGGCGAAGGCGACCACCUGGGCUCAUACUGACACUGAGGUGCGAAAGCGUGGGGAGCAAACAGG